GUGGGGAAUAUUGGGCAAUGGGGGCAACCCUGACCCAGCAACGCCGCGUGAGGGAAGAAGGUUUUCGGAUUGUAAACCUCUGUCCUAUGGGAAGAAGGAAGUGACGGUACCAUAGGAGGAAGCCCCGGCUAACUACGUGCCAGCAGCCGCGGUAAUACGUAGGGGGCGAGCGUUGUCCGGAAUUACUGGGCGUAAAGGGUGCGCAGGUGGCCUGACAAGUCAGAUGUGAAAUACCGAUGCUUAACGUCGGGGCUGCAUUUGAAACUAUGAGGCUGGAGUGCAGGAGAGGGAAGCGGAAUUCCUAGUGUAGCGGUGAAAUGCAUAGAUAUUAGGAGGAACACCAGUGGCGAAGGCGGCUUUCUGGACGAAAACUGACGCUGAGGCGCGAAAGCCAGGGGAGCGAACGGGAUUAGAAACCCGUGUAGUCC
This 428-nucleotide ribosomal RNA is filed under the name uncultured bacterium. RNAcentral's name for it is "partial 16S ribosomal RNA". It matches the Rfam family "Bacterial small subunit ribosomal RNA", at positions 354 to 796 of the family's 1533-position model. The record is from RNAcentral.